RNAcentral lists this ribosomal RNA (274 nucleotides) under uncultured bacterium. RNAcentral's name for it is "partial 16S ribosomal RNA". It matches the Rfam family "Bacterial small subunit ribosomal RNA", at positions 523 to 796 of the family's 1533-position model. The record is from RNAcentral.
AUACGGGGGGUGCAAGCGUUAAUCGGAAUUACUGGGCGUAAAGCGCGCGUAGGCGGUUUGCUCAGUCGGAUGUGAAAGCCCAGGGCUCAACCUUGGAACUGCAUACGAUACUGGCAAACUAGAGUGUGAGAGAGGAUAGUGGAAUUUCCGGUGUAGCGGUGAAAUGCGUAGAUAUCGGAAGGAACAUCAGUGGCGAAGGCGACUGUCUGGCUCAACACUGACGCUGAGGUGCGAAAGCGUGGGUAGCAAACUGGAUUAGAUACCCUUGUAGUCC